GUGAAUCAUCGAAUCUUUGAACGCACAUUGCGCCUCCCUUAACCGGGGGGCAUGCCUGUCUGAGCGUCAUUUAAACCUAUGGACCCGAUUGGGUUCCGUGUUGGGCCUCGCCCCUCUUUGAGAGGCGUCGCCUUAAAGGCAUCGGCUUUAUGGAGCGGACGGGAUCCUUUUGGACUGACCGUUUCAUGGCUGGAAUUUGACUCUGACUUGACCUCAGAUCAGGUAGGGACACCGCCUGAACUUAAGCAUAUCAAUAAGCGGAGGA
This 265-nucleotide unclassified non-coding RNA is filed under the name Archaeorhizomyces sp. RNAcentral describes it as "partial contains 5.8S ribosomal RNA, internal transcribed spacer 2, and large subunit ribosomal RNA". The stretch from base 1 to 69 matches the Rfam family "5.8S ribosomal RNA", at positions 84 to 154 of the family's 154-position model. Lineage: Eukaryota; Fungi; Ascomycota; Archaeorhizomycetes; Archaeorhizomycetales; Archaeorhizomycetaceae. The record is from RNAcentral.